AUAUCAGUAAGCGGAGGAAAAGAAACUAACAAGGAUUACCUCAGUAGCGGCGAGUGAAGAGGUAACAGCCCAAGAUGUAAGUCUGAACCGUAAGGGGAAGAAUUGUAAUCUAUAGGGAUUCUCGGAAGCAAUCAAUGAACCAUAAGUGCCUUGGAAAAGGUUACCGUAGAGGGUGAUAGUCCCGUCUUUGGGAGCAUUGAUGUGUACGAGGGUUUUCUAAGAGUCGGGUAGUUUGGGAAUGCUGCCCUAAUUAGGAGAUAAACUUCUUCUAAGGCUAAAUAUUUAUAGGAGACCGAUAGCGCACAAGUA
RNAcentral lists this ribosomal RNA (309 nucleotides) under uncultured eukaryote. Its description in RNAcentral is "partial large subunit ribosomal RNA". It matches the Rfam family "Eukaryotic large subunit ribosomal RNA", at positions 40 to 350 of the family's 3401-position model. The record is from RNAcentral.